This 492-nucleotide ribosomal RNA is filed under the name uncultured bacterium. RNAcentral's name for it is "bacterial SSU rRNA". It matches the Rfam family "Bacterial small subunit ribosomal RNA", at positions 28 to 507 of the family's 1533-position model. The record is from RNAcentral.
GAUGAACGCUAGCGACAGGCUUAACACAUGCAAGUCGGAGGGGCAUCGACGGGAGUAGCAAUACAACUGGUGGCGACCGGCGCGACGGGUGAGUAACGCGUAUGCAACCUACCUAUCAGGAGGGGAAUAACCCGGCGAAAGUCGGACUAAUACCGCAUAAAACAGGGGCACCGCAUGGUGAUAUUUGUUAAAGAAAUUCGCUGAUAGAUGGGCAUGCGUUCCAUUAGGUAGUUGGUGAGGUAACGGCUCACCAAGCCGACGAUGGAUAGGGGAACUGAGAGGUUGGUCCCCCACACUGGUACUGAGACACGGACCAGACUCCUACGGGAGGCAGCAGUGAGGAAUAUUGGUCAAUGGGCGGGAGCCUGAACCAGCCAAGUCGCGUGAAGGAAGAAGGAUCUAUGGUUCGUAAACUUCUUUUGCAGGGGAAUAAAGUGCAGGACGUGUCCUGUUUUGUAUGUACCCUGAGAAUAAGGAUCGGCUAACUCCGUG